CCUACGGGAGGCAGCAGUGGGGGAUAUUGCACAAUGGGGGAAACCCUGAUGCAGCGACGCCGCGUGGGUGAAGAAGCGCCUCGGCGCGUAAAGCCCUGUCAGCAGGGAAGAAAAUGACGGUACCUGAAGAAGAAGCCCCGGCUAACUACGUGCCAGCAGCCGCGGUAAUACGUAGGGGGCAAGCGUUAUCCGGAUUUACUGGGUGUAAAGGGGGCGCAGACGGCGGUGCAAGCCAGGAGUGAACGCCCGGGGCCCAACCCCGGGACUGCUCUUGGAACUGCGUGGCUAGAGUGCAGGAGGGGCAGGUGGAAUUCCUGGUGUAGCGGUGAAAUGCGUAGAUAUCAGGAGGAACACCGGUGGCGAAGGCGGCCUGCUGGACUGCAACUGACGUGGAGGCCCGAAAGCGUGGGGAGCAAACAGGAUUAGAUACCCGGGUAGUC
RNAcentral lists this ribosomal RNA (440 nucleotides) under uncultured bacterium. RNAcentral's name for it is "partial 16S ribosomal RNA". It matches the Rfam family "Bacterial small subunit ribosomal RNA", at positions 338 to 795 of the family's 1533-position model. The record is from RNAcentral.